Long non-coding RNA from Eurytemora carolleeae, 749 nucleotides. RefSeq lists it as uncharacterized. The transcript is spliced from 3 exons. NCBI's taxonomy places the organism in Eukaryota, Metazoa, Arthropoda, Copepoda, Calanoida, Temoridae. The record is from RefSeq and is a predicted model, not a curated record.
AGCUGGAUUAUGUGGAACGACGUAUGAGCCAAAAAAUAGUUAAAAAUCAAGAUCAGUCAUCAUACUCCAACCAGAUUUCAAGAAAACUGUCUCCUAUGAGCAGCGGUUAUUAAAGUGUUGGUCAAGUCUCUUAAUUUUACUUUAUUUAUUUAUUUUGACUCCUGAGCCUCGUUUGACAGAGAUGGGAGAUAUUUGAGUGGUUGCGAGCAUUAGCUAUCUAUCUAUCUAUCAAACAUCAGUUUUCUAUGCACUGCAUGCAACUUCAUCUAGCGAACAAUUUUGCACUUAAACUGAAGAAAACCAACACAGUAUUCUUCAGUUUAACGAUCACCAAUUUUUAUUCUAAUUUCUUAAACCUUAAAAAGUUCAUAUCAAUUUUUCAACUUUAUACUUAAUUUCUACUUAGAACCUUUCAAAACAGUGCCAAAAUUGUGCUAAGUCAAGUUUAACAAUUAUCUCUUAAAGAAAUGAUUGUACAGAUUGUGUAAAUUACAACCACCGUGGCUCACGUAAACCAGUAAUUUGUUCUAACUUUAUAAAUAUCUUUCAAUGUUUUUACAACACUAUUUAUGUAUGUUUGUAUAGUAUCAAGAACGAAAAACAAAAAGAAAAAUCUAAAAAAUGUUCAAAUAUCUUUUUGUCUUUCAUAAUUGUGUACAUUUUGAGAACCUGUAAAUAAGCACCGCUCUCAAAAUCUAAAAGUUAUGCUAACAUAUUAUCCAGGGCCGACGAAGACGACUGAAAAAAAA